Molecule: ribosomal RNA, 450 nt
Filed under: uncultured bacterium
Lineage: Bacteria
Description: bacterial SSU rRNA
Rfam family: Bacterial small subunit ribosomal RNA
Source: RNAcentral
ACCAGACUCCUACGGGAGGCAGCAGUGGGGAAUAUUGGGCAAUGGGCGCAAGCCUGACCCAGCAACGCCGCGUGAAGGAAGAAGGCUUUCGGGUUGUAAACUUCUUUUCUCAGGGACGAAGCAAGUGACGGUACCUGAGGAAUAAGCCACGGCUAACUACGUGCCAGCAGCCGCGGUAAUACGUAGGUGGCAAGCGCUAUCCGGAUUUACUGGGUGUAAAGGGCGUGUAGGCGGGACUGCAAGUCAGAUGUGAAAACCACGGGCUCAACCUGUGGCCUGCAUUUGAAACUGUAGUUCUUGAGUACUGGAGAGGCAGACGGAAUUCCUAGUGUAGCGGUGAAAUGCGUAGAUAUUAGGAGGAACACCAGUGGCGAAGGCGGCCUGCUGGGCUUUUACUGACGCUGAGGCUCGAAAGUGUGGGAGCAAACAGGAUUAGAUACCCUUGUAAGU